RNAcentral lists this ribosomal RNA (227 nucleotides) under uncultured Bacteroides sp. RNAcentral's name for it is "partial 16S ribosomal RNA". It matches the Rfam family "Bacterial small subunit ribosomal RNA", at positions 383 to 607 of the family's 1533-position model. The record is from RNAcentral. Lineage: Bacteria; Pseudomonadati; Bacteroidota; Bacteroidia; Bacteroidales; Bacteroidaceae.
CUGAACCAGCCAAGUAGCGUGAAGGAUGAAGGUCCUACGGAUUGUAAACUUCUUUUAUACGGGAAUAAAGUAUCCUACGUGUAGGAUUUUGUAUGUACCGUAUGAAUAAGGAUCGGCUAACUCCGUGCCAGCAGCCGCGGUAAUACGGAGGAUGCGAGCGUUAUCCGGAUUUAUUGGGUUUAAAGGGAGCGCAGACGGGAGAUUAAGUCAGUUGUGAAAGUUUGCGG